RNAcentral lists this ribosomal RNA (164 nucleotides) under Thalictrum steyermarkii. RNAcentral describes it as "5.8S ribosomal RNA". It matches the Rfam family "5.8S ribosomal RNA". Rfam says of the family: 5.8S ribosomal RNA (5.8S rRNA) is a component of the large subunit of the eukaryotic ribosome. It is transcribed by RNA polymerase I as part of the 45S precursor that also contains 18S and 28S rRNA. Lineage: Eukaryota; Viridiplantae; Streptophyta; Magnoliopsida; Ranunculales; Ranunculaceae. The record is from RNAcentral.
UGAACGACUCUCGGCAACGGAUAUCUCGGCUCUUGCAUCGAUGAAGWACGUAGCGAAAUGCGAUACUUGGUGUGAAUUGCAGAAUCCCGUGAACCAUCGAGUCUUUGAACGCAAGUUGCGCCCGAGGCCUUCUGGUCGAGGGCACGUCUGCYUGGGCGUCACGC